AAUAUGGCGUACGCCAAUUAUUCGAAUAAUCGAAAGAUAAUGAGGCGUACGCCUCCUAUCCUUUUAUUUAGAAUUUGUAAUUGAUUUAAAAGAAAAUGUGAUUUGAAUAUGAUGGUUGGAGUUUAAAAAUGAUUUGAAUUUAAAAAUUAUAUUUACUUUGGAGCAAGUGAUUUGAAAUUAUAUGAUUAAGGUUUAAUCGGGUGACAAGAACUCGAGCAAUAUAGCGUACGCCAAUUAUUCAAGUGCUUCAGAAAUAGUGAAGCGUACGCUUCCUAUCUCCUUUUCAUCCCAAGAUUUAUGUUAAGAAUAUUCUUAAGUGUUAUAUUAAUUUAGAAAAAUGGUUUGAUUUUCGUACGAUUAAUGUUUUGAUUGGACGACGAGAAUUCAAGCAAUAUGGCGAACGCCGAUUAUUCGAAUGAUCGAGAGAUAACGAAGCGGAAGCUUACUAUACCCUUUUUCGUCCAAAUAUUUAACUUAUAAAAAUAAAGUUCUUUUUGGAGUGUAUGGAUAGGAAAAUGAUUUGGAUUCGACUUUGUUAGAAUCUCUCGGGUCUUAAAUGGAUUACUUGGUGUUGGACCAAGAUAAUUAAAUUGUUUUGAAACAAUAAAAAUGGAUUAUUUACUUUGUAUUAGUAACUAAAUUCUUAUUUAAUUAAUUAUAAUAUUCUAAUGAAACAAAUGAAACAUGAAUAAAGACUCAAUAAUUAUUACUACUAUUACCAAUUAUACUUGUGUUUUUUAAGUAUACACAUGAGUUAAAAAUAUAAAAGAGAAAGAAAACAAAAUGGAAUAAACCAAAAGCUGGGGUAAGGCCUGCAUAAGGGGUUAGCUUAAAAAAAAAACAAGCCACAAGGGACCACGAGGCCCAAGGGCGCUUUUCUUCUGUCGGAUUGGGCCGGAAGCCCAUAAAAGCUCCAUCCUAGUGGGAAAACCAAACAGAAUUUAAACCAGCAGAAGAAAAAAGGGCGGAUGCAGCCACGUGGCCCCCACCCAGCUUUGGUACACGAACAAUAUGUGUUGGUAGACGAACAUCUCCAUUAAUCCGUCUUAUUUCCAAUUUUCAAAAGCAGAGUAAUUAUUCAAACCAACACAGUAGCCAAGACCUAGUCUAAAUCGGAACUUGGGAAGGCCAGAUGAGUGACAACACAUUUAAUCUUAAUUAAGGCUAUUAAAACUAUCAUAAUAUAUAAAAGCAAAAUAACACAUUUGGAGAAAGAAAAAAAAAUAAAACAUGCUUGGCUCUUCUCAUGUUCCUAUUAUCCUAUCCCGUCGUUCUCAUCAGAGAGGAGCGGCGGCGCCGCCCCCGAACAUGAAAAUUUUAACACAAACCCACCCUUGAAUUGAUCCCCAAGCUCGAAUCCGAAACCAACUCCCUUUAUAUACCUACCGAUUGCUCUAAUAAAAAACUCAACCUUGAUUUUGCCAAAACCUAUACUAAACAACUACUCCUAAAACAAAAUCUUGAUCUAAUGAACCAAACAAAAUGCAUCAUACAAGAGGAGUUUCUAUGGAAAGCCAAGGUCAAAGCUCGGGUUAAAGACACACAAAGUAAGACUAACCUUCGAUGGAUCUUAAUCGCGCUCAAAUGUGCGUCUUGAUCGUGAAAAAAAGAAAAACAAAAGAAGAAAAGAAAAGUAGCGACCGAGAGUUUACCGAAGGACGGAUCCGCAGGGUAACGACGCUAGUCCAGGGUCUUUUAUGAAGUAUUGCUUUGAUGGGUGCUCUAGGUUUUUAGAAGGAAAAUCUUGUUGUCCAUCUGUUAACCUCUCUCUCUGUUUUUGAAGAACUCUCAAUCUUAGAAAACAACUUCUCCCUUUUUCGAUUUUCUCAUCCCCAGAUUAUGUGGGAUUUUGUUUGUUCCUGUUUUAGAUCAACUUUGACAUGCUUUUCGGAUGUUUAUGUUAAUUUGCUGGGUAAAGCUUUAAUCUUAGUGAUUUAUUUUGUUGUUUUGCAGUUUCUUAAGAGCUUUUGGAAAGUGCUUUUAAAAUAAACUGCUUUUGUUCUCUGCAUAUUACAACUUUGGAAGUGACUUGAUGAAGGUGGCUUGUAAGAAAUGCCAAACUUGGGGGCGCCAACUUUUGGUCACCAACAACACCUUUUUUUAUUUAAUUAGAAAAUGUAAUUAUUUAAGGUUUUCUUUUAAGACAAAUGUGUAUAUUUGGAUUUAUUUGUAACUUAUUGAAUUACAAGUCUAAUAGCAAUUGUAACUUGUUGGAUUUGGGAAAGAAUUGAAUUACUAAAGUGUAUUUUCUAUUA
Lathyrus oleraceus (garden pea) is the source of this 2255-nucleotide long non-coding RNA. RefSeq lists it as uncharacterized. The record is from RefSeq and is a predicted model, not a curated record. Lineage: Eukaryota; Viridiplantae; Streptophyta; Magnoliopsida; Fabales; Fabaceae. The transcript has 2 exons.